Molecule: long non-coding RNA, 9258 nt
Filed under: Capsicum annuum
Lineage: Eukaryota; Viridiplantae; Streptophyta; Magnoliopsida; Solanales; Solanaceae
Description: long non-coding RNA (CANN_LNC021267)
Rfam family: tRNA (bases 7048-7121)
Source: RNAcentral
GGAGAAGACAGGAGCUUUGCGCUUAGAGAAGUCCCUUGGCCGGACAGAGCGCAUCUUCUUUUGCUCAUUUUUCAGGGCCUUGCCUUGUUGGCCUACCAAAUAAACAGGCUUUUUUUGAUUGAUUCGCUUACGGGUCAUUAACUAAAGACCUUGAAGUCGUGACCCAUGAGCUAGCUGAGGAAAGCGAUAUCGCGCGUAGACAUCAAGCCGUAGCGCGCGAACCAGCAACCCCUCUUUAUGAUGCUUUCCACUCUUUCGAGAGGAUUCAGUUAUUGAGUCGGUGAGCUGAUCUCGCCUUUUAUCUGGACAUUGUGAGUUCUCCCGAUCAUGACGACGAAGCGAGUGAAGGGUAGCACUGAACUGGCAAAGAGAAUGAAUGAGAUUAUGGGGCUCCGGUUCCAUCGAUUUUGACUUCAUUUUACUUAAUAGAAAGAGGUUGCAAAAAAGGAAGAGAAUGGAUCCACUCAAAAAACUUUGUUCGGAAUCUAACUCAGAGAGGCAGUGUUGAGUCCAUGCAGACUCUAAAUUCGUCUAGCGCUUCAAACCAUAUUGGAUUACUAGAUAAAGAGCGAGUGAUCACCCAUGAGGAAAUGGGCAUUGUCUAAAUCCCUGUUUUAAGAAGUUGAAAGAACGUUUUCGCCGUAUCCUUUACAAGCUUUUACACGAAGCAAUGAAUGAGUUGCUCGACGGCAUUCAUCUGUCUUUUCAGUAAAGCGAGUCUUUCAAGUAAGCCCGCCUAACAUGAAAGUCAAGCCUUUCACUUCAUUGUUCAAGUCCUGCCUUCAGAGAAAAGGGUACAGGUCGGUUUGUUGUUUCGAAAGAUUCUCGCACACGAUUCAGUCUGCCUCUGUCAAAUAAAUAAAGUGGAUGGAGAGCCUUCUUAUCCUUUUAGGUCCGACCUCUCUCUUCCACUUUCCACCCCCCUAAGCUUUACUAAAAGGAGGGUCAUCAACACCGUCAGAACCUCGCAUUUGCGGCUAAGUGUCCCUCCGCGGUAAGGAAUUGAUUUUCUUUCUUUCCCUGCAGUGCUAUAGUGCGCUUGGACUCUAUCUCCGCUGUCUGGCUUUCAUGAAGAAAGAUUGAAAGCGUCCUCUUCGAGCGACUGCGUACCUCAUGUCAAAGAUGUUCGUGUACUUUAGAAUUCGAAAUAGGACUGUUAGCGCUGGUCUCUAGCCACCUAGAACUACCAGAGACUCGAUCCACCUCAGGAACAUUCAAAAGACUAAAGCCACCUGAAACUCACUGAUUGUCUCAUGCCACCUCGGAAGAGAAGACAUAUUCUCAGACAGAAAAGAAAGGACUUACCACUUGGCCACACUCAGAAGCCGGAGUCUGAGCUAGUAGCUAGCCUCAGGUAUAGAACUGGAGUUCUCUAUCAGGGAAUUCCAGGAGUGAAAUAGUAUGGUUUGAUAGAACCAGGUAGUAGUUGGUCGGAAAGGAAGAGAAAGAUACUCCAACGGACUCGGGCAAUCCCUUUACGAAUCAAAGGGAUUGGGCUGAUUGACCCCAGGUUCCGGGACGAUAAUCAGGUAAACAGUUGAAGUACCAAAGAGCGGUCCCAAGGGACGGAAUCAAGGAAGCAAACUAAGAGCCAAAGCUCUUAGCCUCCUAAUAUGAGGAUUCGUCUCACUAAAUGAGUUGAACUGAGUUCAACGAAUCCUCAGAUUCCUUAUAUGUUCAACUCAUUUCGAGUGACAAAUGUUCCUCAGAUUCCUCAUCUCUUGGGCUUUCUCCGGUUGACGUUGAAGCCAAAGAAACGGGGGGGAAGGGCACAAAACGUAGUUACCACACCCAUUCCCAUUCCAUUAUUGAUUCGAAUAGCUAAGCGAAGGCUUAAUUGAAUGGACGAGUAAGGGAAUACGAGCUCCUUCAUCUCCUUAUAUACGUCGCCAUGUUCGUUGACGGCCGAAUAAGAAGGGGGCCAAACAGCCACUUGACGGAAGUUUUAGGGGUGAGAGCAGACCCCGAAUAGGGUGAAGGGGAUGCCUCAUUGGCAGCCGAGAGCAGCCUAUUCUGUCUGUAGCAGCUUCUUCUUUCAAAGGCAAAGGCCUUUAUAGACUCGUACAAAGAAGAAAAUAAGUUCCAUGACAUGGCACUUGCGAGGGAGUUUAGUUCAUAACCUCGUAGGCCGGGAAUGCCAUCAAGAACCCUUUUCCUCUCGGUCUCAGUGUCAGCCAAGUUAGCAUCGGCUCCAUCAUUUGAAGCUUAUGACAUUGAUGAGUGAUCCAACAGUCUUGAGUGGCAGUUCUCCAAGGAGAAGGGAUCCCAGGUAGGAGAGCCAGCCGGGCCAGGGGAAAGAGGUAGUCAAAGACUACCCGGGAGUAGGUUCUGGAAUUUAUUCAGAGUUGCCACUCCUCAAUCUUCGAAAUUCCAGCGAUAGAGGACUUGAUACUUAUCUUCGACAAGCCUUGAUCUGUGCUGAAGACAGAUUCUCUUAUCGGCUGAGGAAAUAGGUAGCCACCCAUUCUUCCUUUCCGACCUUAGCUUAGCUGCUCACGCCAAUGCUCAUGGGUAUGGGGCAAUAACUGCUGCUACUGUUAUACUCCCACACUAUAAGAGACGGCUCAUCUUCUAUCUAAGACCUCCUCAAUGAGAGGAUGCCUGAAUGCUACUUUCGUCUACGUAUGGCUUAUAUUAUAUAAGCAAUCCUCCUUCUAUGGUCUUAGGCCCAGUUUCUUUCAACUAAGAUUUAUACUAAGCUUCCUCCCCCUGAAGCCUGAGUCAAAGAAUCCGUCGAUUCCAAUUCCACUAUAGGAAGUGCUGUUAUGAUCGAUUUUCCUUCUCCUCUUCAUUAAUAGCCUGGGAACUUAGAUUCUGAAUUAGAGUAUGGCAGGUCCGUCUUUGACCUUUGACCUUUGACCGGUUCGGGUUCGGGACUCGUUCUAUGACCGUACUCCUAUGUUUUGGGAGUCUGAGAAAGCUCUUCGUCCGCAUUCGCCAAGCCUAACAAGCCUUGGAAGUCGGCUAAGGCGCAAUGCUCCCUAUUUUCCGUGCUAGCUUUUGGGUCUGCUAGCGCUUCGAUGCUUUCGAUUCUUCUUUCCUAGGCUAUUUCGUACGUGUAAGCUUUCGAAGUCGUAUAUCGAAUGAGUGGAUAUUCCCACAUCCUCCCUUCAUGCUAAGACCACUUUGUGUACUGCGUCUUCUAUCGCUAUCUACGGUGAUUCUCCCGUCUAACCGGAGUGAGGACUCAGCAUGAAUAGCCGGACGCGAGAGAAAGACAAAAACAAGGCUUCUCGCGGCCCUAUCGAAUCCGUUCCCGAGUGAAGGUCACUUCACAAGUUGCCUUCUCUGGUCUUGCGGCGCACUCACUCCCUUUCCUUCCGCUCACUUCUGGACCCUUCGCUCCCGGUUAGUGCUCUUUGGCCCGGUCUAUUCUGUCUGAUAUGAUAUCAUAUAGCCAGGAAAAAGGGAUCUACUAGUCAUCGCCUUUGAGCUGGUAUUACCUGGAGUCGGCUAUUCCUGAUUCAGCAAAGGAAAGAAACCUUGAUCCCAAGACUAGCACUGACUCUAUUAUGAGACCUCCCUCUGUCGCAAUAGAAAUCGAGAAUGGAGGUGACUUCGCUACACUUGUUUAUAGUUGGAAAUUCCAACUCGAAGGCCCUAGUACUACUGACUUUGCACCAGAAACAAUUGAAGCCUUUUUUCGGCAUCCCUUCUCAGACGUCUUAUUCCUUGCCUUAGUAAUGUGCAAUCAGCUACUUGGCACCUUCCCUUAUUCUCCCUCCUUUCCCUUCCUUGCAAAGGUCUUAUAAGGCGAUGACCCUACUUACACGAUAUGAGAAUGGUUCGACACUUUCAACCCCAUAACCCACUUCCAAGACUUUAGGACUAACUGGAUUUCUUUCGACUUAGUUCUCUGUUCGUCUCGGGUACUCGCUCUGCUAAUUGGUAUGAUAACCAGUAAAGGGAAGGUACAUAGUCAUCUUUUCCAGAGCACCCUAAACCGUAACAGCAAGACCAACGGAUAUGACCAAAAAUUCCUUGUCACGAGCUUGGCUUUGGGGACAGUUUCACCGACCUAAGAACCAUUUCCUUUAGCAGCGGCGGAGGAUAUUAUAUAAAAGCAAAGAAGAGAGCGAAGCUCCUCUCCAACCAGUCAAGUGGCCCAAGGGCCACCUUUCCUGGAUUAGAAAGAAAGCUACUAACAGUACCGUGCAAUAUCUGGCCUAGUGCAAACCAUGGCAUACAUCAAACUACCAACUGCAUAAGAAUAAGGAACAAGAGACAUUUCCUUCUUCUCUUCAUCAGUUGAUGGACUUGACUUUUUCUUUAGCCUCUCGGCUUCGAGAAGCCGUGGGCCCAGUAGUGCUUUCUUAAAGCCUGUAACCCGCUCGACGUAAGAACCGAUCUCAAGCUGGAUGAGAAGGGAAAUAAAGACUAGUGAGAAUAGCCGUAAUUCAACUAGGCCUUGAAUCAGUGGUUUACAGAGACAAUUAGUCAUCUGCUUACGGCUAAUCUGCUCUUCGAAUCGUCAUCUUAGAAUAGGUUGGAACUAUUUCAAGAUGAUAGGCUUAUUCUGAAAGUACGCAUUUCUUGCUCUAAGUCCGCUGGGUUGGAUCGAACUAGUAGGUUUGGCAGGAAGAUAAUGGCAUAAAAGAAGCAUUCCACUUUUGGAAAGAGAAGAGUCAGUCUGAUUAUAGAUCCCUCUGUCUUGCAUUGGGUUAACUGGAGCUUAGAUAAAGCGAUAGGCAGAAGAGAGAGAAUUAGUCCGUCUUUAUAGACUGACUUUCCUCGCAUCAAAGCUUUCCGGUUCUCUUCCUUUAUGAAGAAAGGAAAGGCUUGUUAUCGACGAAGAAGAUCUUUAUACUGUUCAUCCUAAGAAAAGAAGUUUUCACUCGGUACAACUAUUCUAUGCUAGCAUAGCAUGCUUCUACUUAUGUUGUGUUGCAAAUUCCGGAUCAGGAACAAUCCUUUCUUAUUCGUUGAUGCCAGUCUAAAAAUCCGUACUUGUUGACUAAAUUUCGGCUUUCUAGCUUGAAGCUUAAGGGCUAAGGGAAAUUCAUCCUUGGAUCAAUGAAAUAGUUGAAUUAGCGUUGAUGCAAGAAGCAACCUCUUAUUGAAAUGACUUUAGGAAGUGCCUAACCUUUCUCCUUCGAUCCGAUCCUUUCUGUGACCCGAAAUGAACUUAUUGUCUCUUCGUCUCUUGCCUUUGAAUCGGAUAUUCCGAUGAAAGCGGAUUCUCUUUCCGUCCCUCGUCAUCGAGAGGAAGAAUCGCUAUCUAUCUAUCCAUAUACGUAUCAACAAAUGUGGUUCCAGGGAUCGGUCGAUUGCCCCUCACCAGCAGCUAGAGGAGGAGAAAGGAAUGAUGUCCCGGCCUGGGCUGGGCACCUAUCAGCCAACUAUUCCUUUUUGGAAUGGAAAGAAGAAAGGAUGGUCGUAGAUCACUGAUGUCGAAUUCACGAAAAAGAUCAUAUGUGAAAGAAUCGUCAGAUUAUGGGUUCCCGGAGUAGACGGAAUGGAGAAUGAAUGAAAUAGAAUAGUCUGGCAGAAUCGUAUGAUAGGGAAAGUGCGGAGCCUCCCACUUGUCUGGGUUACCGGGCUGGCUAACCUAACUAUGAAUUUCUAUCAAUGUCGGGAUAGACAGAGGUCUAGGAUAGUACGCUGUCGGAGUGAGACCGGGGUACAGUAACGAAGUUAGACCGAAAUGAACGACUCAAUUCCUCUAGAAGAAAGGAGAGAGAAAGAACAACCAAUUCUAUGAAACAAUAUCGUCAUUUACUAGAAUCGGUUGCUACUAGUCCGGGUUACCUCAGAGAUAGAGCCAUUAGGCGAGAAAAAACAACCUAGUUAGUGCACUAACUCAAACCUAGUUCUUGCACGAAAUGUCCUGCUAACAUAGGAGCACUCCUACUAAGAAAUGGAAGAGCAAAUUUCUUUCUGUUCGACGACACAAUGCCUCACCUGCCCUCUGCUACACAUCUCUUUCGUUCGCCCUAGACCCACCCACCAAAUGGAACUCUGCCCUUUUUGUUGGGUUAGAGCGAGUAUGAAGUCAGGGAGGAAGAAGAGGGAAGAAAUAAUAUAGUAAUAUUAACCUUUCCUUCGCUCUAUUCCCAAGUCCUGGGCUAAGCUGAGCUUCGAAGUCGGGCUUUCUUCCUAAUCUCAUCUACUGAAAAGGGGGCCGGGCGUAGCACGUUCUUUUUUGGGACACAUAGGCUAUUACAGACGCAUCAAAAAAGACUUUUCGAAGCGCGGAAUCCCAGAAUGGAAUCAUUGCAGAAGAAAGGUAUAAGGCUUGGGAACCGGAACAGGAUUAAGCCUUUAAGCAUGCAGAUGAGUGUUUGCUGUCAGCCCCAAUCCUUCGGUUUCCGGAUUGGAAUAAGGAGUUCCAUGUUCAUACUGACGCAUCACUCUAUGCCAUUGGAUGUAUGUUGGCGCAAGAAGGGCCGCUUGAUCACUCCAUCUACUUUGAAAGUAUACGACUUUCCGCUUGGGAAUUAUAAAACCACCGAACCUUCUUUAUCAUGAUUCGACCCAUACCUCAGACCUAAGAUCGAGCACCAGAGCUGCUCAUAACAACGUACCAAAAAGAAGAAUGCGAGAAGUUCAUAUUCUCCAGAUUCUACUAUAAACCAGGUAGUGAGGAUGAAAAAAAGCAUAAGCUACCUCGUUCGUGCUCCCGUCUUUCCCGCUGCCAUCUUCGGUGGAGUAACCAAGUUUUUCUUUCUCACUCCUUAUGUACUUUUUUUUACUUCAUCCAUACUUUUUGACUUUUUCUGAAGUGUGGGGCAAACGGCGCCCUCUACUUCUACUUCUAACUAAAGGCGAACAGCCGGCAUUGCAAGCAAAUAGAAAGCCCCCGCCCGUUUGAGCCGGAAAGCGUACCGGCUGUUUGAGUCGCAUCGCAAAAGGGCUGCUUUCUUAAUAUUAUUCUUAAUAUUAUUUAUAUAAUAAUAAUAAAUAAUCUAUAAACAAAAAGAAAAAGGGGAAAUCUUUUUUCUUCAAAAAUUCUUCAUUCCUGGGAAGAAGAAGAAGCAGAUAGGACAAAGGCCUUCUCUUUCCAUUCGCUCUACUCGAAGUGAGCGAAUUGCAUGUAGAGAUCCGUAGGGGCUUAUACUUUAAUUGGUUGAAACGUACCACUCAUAACGGUGAUAUUGUAGGUUCGAGCCCUACUAAGCCUAUCACCCCCUUCUUUUCACCUGAUACAAGGCAGUUAAAUACCCACCACCCUGCAGAUCUGAAUGAUGCGAUGGGAACCACACUGCUGCCAAUGCCCUUUGGGCAUGCCUCCUAUGAAUAUCACUCACCUACGCUCUUGGCGUAUGCCACCUUUGGGCAAUAUGGUGUAAUACGCAAAGCAGUUGAGCCAUAGCUCUUCGAUUGCUAUAUUCUUGCAAUAGAGAAGGUGUGGUUUAUCCUUUAAGAGAGAGUAAAUGUGAAGGUUCGGAUUGAAUAUCUUUACAAUACAUCCUUGGGGCACCAUAGUAUGUCGGGAAUAAGGGGGUCAUAGUGAACGUAACCACUCCCUUGGUUGGGGGCUAUGAAUCCCCUAUCCUUUUAAUUUUUUGAUUCCCAGGUCUUUUUUAUUAUAACUGUUGGAAUAUUUUUGUUGACGACUUAGUCAGGGUGGUUCACUAUUUCUUUGUUGAAGGCGUUGUUAAGCCCUAACGUUUGAAUUCCAAUUUCAUUGCCCUGACAAAACUUUAUGAUCCCCACUUCCAGAAAAAAACUGAAAAGAUGGGGCGGUCGGGGACUUGAAUGAAUGUUAUUAGUCGUGAAUUUGAACUUUUUGGUAUUCUUUUGAUAUAUUUGCAAGAACAUUCUAUGGUUUUAAUAAGAGGAGGUAGAGUGAAAGAUUUUUUGGCUAAAUAAUAAUUUGGUUAUGCCCAGCCCACUAAUGGGGGGCGGUGGCUAAUCCGUACACGCAGUGGGAGGUGACAGCCAGAAAUGAGAUUUGGGGAACAAAGUCAAUUGAUGCGCUCUUAAAGGGAGAAGACAGGAGCUUUGCGCUUAGAGAAGUCCCUUGGCCGGACAGAGCGCAUCUUCUUUUGCUCAUUUUUCAGGGCCUUGCCAUGUUGGCCUACCAAAUAAACAGGAUUUUUUUGAUUGAUGAGCUUAUGGGUCAUUAACUAAAGACCUUAAAGUCGUGACCCAUGAGAUAGCUGAGGAAAGCGAUAUCGCGCGUAGACAUCAAGCCGUAGCGCGUGAACCAGCAACCCCUCUUUAUGAUGCUUUCCACUUUUUUAAGAGGAUUCAGUUAUUGAGUCGGUGAGCUAAUCUCACCUUUUCUCUAGACAUUGUGAGUUAUUUCGAUCAUGACAAUGAAGCAAGUAAAGUGUAGCACUGAACUAGCAAAAAGAAUUAAUGAGAUUAUGGGGCUUCGGUUCCAUCAAUUUUGACUUUAUUUUACUUAAUAGAAAGAGGUUGCAAAAAAGGAAGAGAAUGGAUCCACUGAAAAAACUUUGUUUGGAAUCUAACUCAGAGAGGCAGUAUUGAGUCCAUACAGACUCUAAAUUCGUCUAGCGCUGCAAACCAUAUUGGAUUACUAGAUAAAGAGCUAGUGAUCACCCAUGAGGAAAUGGGCAUUGUCUAAAUCCCUAUUUUAAGAAGUUAAAAGAACGUUUUCACUAUAUCCUUUACAAGCUUUUACACGAAGCAAUGAAUGGGUUGCUCGACGGCAUUCAUCUAUCUUUUCAGUAAAGAGAGUCUUUCAAGUAAGCCCGCCUAACAUGAAAGUCAAGCCUUUCACUUUAUUGUUCAAGUCCUGCCUUUAGAGAAAAGGGUAAAGGUCGGUUUGUUGUUUUGAAAGAUUCUCGCACAUGAUUCAGUUUGCCUUUGUCAAAUAAAUAAAGUGGAUGGAGAGCCUUCUUAUCCUUUUAGGUUUGACCUCUCUCUCCCACUUUCCACCCCCUAAGCUUUACUAAAAAAAGGGUUAUCAAUACCGUCAGAACCUUGCAUUUGUGGGUAAGUGCCCCUCCGCGGUAAGGAAUUGACUUUUUUUCUUUCUCUGCAGUGUUAUAGUAUGCUUGGACUCUAUCUCUGUUGUCUGGCUUUCAUGAAGAAAGAUUGAAAGUGUCUUCUUUGAGCGACUGCGUACCUCAUGUCAAAGAUGUUUGUGUACUUUAGAAUUCAAAAUAGGACUAUUAGCACUGGUCUCUAGCCACCUAGAACUACCAGAGACUCGAUCCAUCUCAGGAACAUUCAAAAUACUAAAGCCACCUGAAACUCACUGAUUGUCUCAUGCCACCUCGGAAGAUAAGACAUAUUCUCAGAUAGAAAAGAAAGGACUUACCACUUGGCCACACUCAGAAGCCAGAG